GCCGCUGUAGCUCAGCCGGAUCAGAGUGCGACGCUACGAACGUCGAGGCCGGGGGUUCGAUUCCCUCCAGCGGCUCCA
RNAcentral lists this transfer RNA (78 nucleotides) under mine drainage metagenome. RNAcentral describes it as "tRNA-Arg". It matches the Rfam family "tRNA". Rfam says of the family: Transfer RNA (tRNA) molecules are approximately 80 nucleotides in length. Their secondary structure includes four short double-helical elements and three loops (D, anti-codon, and T loops). The record is from RNAcentral.